RNAcentral lists this transfer RNA (159 nucleotides) under Peanut witches'-broom phytoplasma NTU2011. Its description in RNAcentral is "partial 16S-23S ribosomal RNA intergenic spacer". The stretch from base 84 to 157 matches the Rfam family "tRNA". Lineage: Bacteria; Bacillati; Mycoplasmatota; Mollicutes; Acholeplasmatales; Acholeplasmataceae. The record is from RNAcentral.
CCUUUCUAAGGAAACCAAUAAAAUCAAUCAUCUUCAGUUUUGAAAGACUUAGGCAACUAAGUUUUUCUUCGUGACUUCACGAAGGGCCUAUAGCUCAGUUGGUUAGAGCACACGCCUGAUAAGCGUGAGGUCGGUGGUUCAAGUCCAUUUAGGCCCACC